UACGGAGGAUGCGAGCGUUAUCCGGAUUUAUUGGGUUUAAAGGGUGCGUAGGCGGGCUUUUAAGUCAGCGGUAAAAAUUCGGGGCUCAACCCCGUCCGGCCGUUGAAACUGGGGGACUUGAGUGGGCGAGAAGAAGGCGGAAUGCGUGGUGUAGCGGUGAAAUGCAUAGAUAUCACGCAGAACCCCGAUUGCGAAGGCAGCCUUCCGGCGCCCUACUGACGCUGAGGCACGAAAGUGCGGGGAUCGAACAGG
This 252-nucleotide ribosomal RNA is filed under the name uncultured bacterium. Its description in RNAcentral is "partial 16S ribosomal RNA". It matches the Rfam family "Bacterial small subunit ribosomal RNA", at positions 524 to 776 of the family's 1533-position model. The record is from RNAcentral.